This 935-nucleotide long non-coding RNA is filed under the name Callithrix jacchus (white-tufted-ear marmoset). Its description in RNAcentral is "lncRNA (ENSCJAG00000054185.2)". Lineage: Eukaryota; Metazoa; Chordata; Mammalia; Primates; Cebidae. The record is from RNAcentral.
GUGAGGAGGGAAAGCUCACAUGUGGCAAUGAUUGGAGAAAGAGAAGGUAGCCAAGGAAAUGGAGAAGGAACAGUCAGAGAAGAAGAGGAAAUUGGGAUGCAAAUAGGUACUGAAGAUCGUGUGAAGACAGGGAGGAGGUUGUCAUCAGCAAGCCAAGGAGAGAAGCCUCAGAAGACACCAACCCUGCCAACACUGUGACCUCAGACUCCAGCCCCCAGAACUAUUCCAUAGACUCUUCUCUGUUUCUUCAUCUAUGACAUGGGGAUAAUGUGAGUAUACCUACAUUAGAAGACUGCUGUGAAGACCAAAUAAGGUAACACACCUAAAGAAUUUGUGCAAAUUUCUGGUACAUUUUAAAUUAUAGUUAACAAAACAAGUAGUACCACUUUUAAAAAAAUCAACUUUUAUUUUAGAUAUGGGGGAUACAUGUGUAGAUUUGUUAUGUGGGGAUACUAUGUGAUGCUGAGGUUUGGAGUACAGAUCUUGUCACCCAGGUAGUGAGCAGAGUAUCCAAUAGGUACUUUUAAAAACUCCCCAUCCCCCCUGCUCCUUCCACCCUCUAAUGGUCCACAAUGUCUACUGUUCUCAUAUUUAUGUCUAUAUAUGCUCAAUGUUUACCUUCCACUUAUAAGUGAGAACAUGUGGUAUUUGGUUUUCUGUUCCUGCAUUAAUUUGCAUAAUAUUAUAGCCUCCAACUUCAUCCAUGUUGCUGCAAAUAACAUUAUUUUAUUCCUUUUUAUGGCUGUCUAGUAUUCCAUGGCAUAUAUGUACCAUAUUUUCUUUAUCCAGUCUAUCAUUGAUGGGCAUCUGGGUUGAUUCCAUAUCUUUGCUUAAAUAGUACCAUCUUUAACACAGGUGAAAUUUAUCUAUGCUGUAAGAAGUAAGGAUAGGGGUUACUCUUGGGAGGAAAUAGCAACCAGAAAGGUGUAGUCUAG